Long non-coding RNA from Lycium ferocissimum, 1501 nucleotides. RefSeq lists it as uncharacterized. The record is from RefSeq and is a predicted model, not a curated record. The transcript has 2 exons. NCBI's taxonomy places the organism in Eukaryota, Viridiplantae, Streptophyta, Magnoliopsida, Solanales, Solanaceae.
CUUUUUAACUGUGAAUCAGCUGUCGUCAGCAAUUACAAAAAGUUCCAUUCCAUCUUCCACAGGUUUAGAUAUAGUCCCCAUCUAGUUAUGGUUUGAGAGACAAUUAUCAUGUAGUGUUAGCGUUGUUAGCCUCUUCCUUUUUUCCCAUUUUACUGUUAAUGUUCUGCAAUAUUCCGUCUUCUUUCUCCUAUGCAUUUUUUUCAAGAUUGCUUUAUGUUGGAAUCAAAAUUUAAUCACUAUGACUGGUAUAGUCAUAUUAUAAAGAAAAAAGUUGCUAUAAAAAAAUUUAAUAACUAGUAUGAAACAGAGGGAUAUCAAAUCGUGUGUACUUUCUAAUCCUUAUUUUUCAGAGAGGAAUAACUAGUAUGGCAGUUGCUGUAAAAGCUGCCAUAAUUUUUUCACAUAUAAAAUGCUUUGUUAUCUAUUUGCAGGCAUGGUUGCUGGAAAGAGAAAAUUAUACUAAGAUAAUUUUAACACUUAAGUUCUGCAUGACGAUCUUGGUGUCAUCUCAUAAUUACGUUUAUUCUGAUGGUAAACAAUUGUAAUUUGCAAGUAUGAGAGAUUGGUCCCAGUGAUAAAACUCUUAAGCUUAUCUCUUAAGAGUAGACAAUUUGGACUGGGAACUUCCCUUGAUUACCCGAACAGUAUUGAAAGGACUGAUUGUUAUGUGCACAUAACUAUCAAUUUGAAUUAUUAACAUAUAUGUUUUUUUAGUGGUUGAAAACCUUUUUGUUAUAGCAAAUAACCUGUUGAGGUGACAAAGUUGGGUCUAUGGUUCACUGUCUCUAAUGACUAAGCUAUACGUUUGCUUGUGCUACUUACCCCAUUUUUGUAUGUCCAACUGAAACAAUUAACUAGGAUUACACAAAAACCAAACCUUUCAUCUACCAAUAAAUGAAAUUUACCAUUUGAAGGGAAGAUAAAAAAUAAAGCCUAAUAAGUUGAGUAGAUGUUUGAGCAUGCAGAGAUCUUGAACACCAUUUCAGUAACUGCCACUUUUCCUGAGAGAAAUUAAAAGACUUGUUUUGAGCCCUCUGUUGUAUUCAGAGUAAUUUUUCGUUUGCUGCUUUCCCUGUCUUAUUUUUCUUCUUUCCUUUCUGGGAAAUAUUAAAGUGAGUGAAGGCAUUGCUGGCUACGUUAAGUUCAUGCUAUUUGCUUUAGUAAAUUUGUAUUUUGACUGCCAUAACUGACUUAUAUUUCUCCUUUAUUUUAGGUAUAGUUGGAUCUACUAAAGAUUCUCUGGAUACUGCAUAUAGUCGUGAUUUAAGAUGCCAUAGUUUCUCUAGGAAAAGAAAUAAUGGCUCAAUUUCUUGUGUUUCCAUGCAUUCUUAUUUUUUCUUGGGGGUAACUUGAACACAUUCUUAUUAUUUUGAUAAUUCAGUACUUUUUUUUUAACUCAAGAAGACAAGAAAGUUGAUGUAUUGAGCUUGAUGUUCUUGUUUUAAGUGAAUGACGUUGUUUUGACCUUCUAUUACUAUAUUCGAGUUAAUUUUUCUUGUGA